RNAcentral lists this non-coding RNA (28 nucleotides) under Mus musculus (house mouse). Lineage: Eukaryota; Metazoa; Chordata; Mammalia; Rodentia; Muridae. The record is from RNAcentral.
CACCAGAAGUAACUGGAACCAGCAAGAC